RNAcentral lists this ribosomal RNA (253 nucleotides) under uncultured bacterium. RNAcentral describes it as "partial 16S ribosomal RNA". It matches the Rfam family "Bacterial small subunit ribosomal RNA", at positions 524 to 776 of the family's 1533-position model. The record is from RNAcentral.
UACGUAGGGUGCGAGCGUUGUCCGGAAUUAUUGGGCGUAAAGGGCUCGUAGGCGGUUUGUCGCGUCGGGAGUGAAAACCCAGGGCUUAACCCUGGGCUGGCUUCCGAUACGGGCAGACUAGAGGUAUGCAGGGGAGAACGGAAUUCCUGGUGUAGCGGUGAAAUGCGCAGAUAUCAGGAGGAACACCGGUGGCGAAGGCGGUUCUCUGGGCAUUACCUGACGCCGAGGAGCGAAAGUGUGGGGAGCGAACAGG